GUGUUAAUUUGGAUUACCCGAUGAAUUAUGUGUGUUGGAAAGGAUAUGAAGUUGAUUAGAUGUUUUAAUGUUUGAUAGUAAUGACUAUGGAAAGUUAAGUAUGAAUUAUGCGAAUGAUAUGAUUGUUACAUGUACAAAUGAGUAUGCUAAUAUGAGCGUGGUUUCGAUGAAAUGAAAGUAUAGGAAUCACGUCGUGACGGACUCAAGCAUGAAAGGAUAACGGGUCAAGAAAAGGCGAGGAAUCGGAUACGAGCACGGACGUAUAAGGUAGUACCAGUCAUGAGGAUAUCCAAGGAUUGGAGAUCGAAGAUCGAGUCACUAGAGAGAUUGUACGGAAACGUUGAUGUACAUAAUGUAGUAAACAUAAGCUAUGUUUUUAACUAGUAAAUAAGAGGAUGACGGAUUUAUGAGAAAGAACUGUGUUAAAGUUAAAUCUUAAAUAAGUUGAGGUAUUUAUAGUGAAAGAAAUUUUAUGGUA
Long non-coding RNA from Helianthus annuus (common sunflower), 478 nucleotides. RefSeq lists it as uncharacterized. NCBI's taxonomy places the organism in Eukaryota, Viridiplantae, Streptophyta, Magnoliopsida, Asterales, Asteraceae. The record is from RefSeq and is a predicted model, not a curated record. The transcript has 2 exons.